Molecule: long non-coding RNA, 799 nt
Filed under: Phoenix dactylifera (date palm)
Lineage: Eukaryota; Viridiplantae; Streptophyta; Magnoliopsida; Arecales; Arecaceae
Description: long non-coding RNA (PDAC_LNC001078)
Source: RNAcentral
UGGCCGCAAAAACACCGCCAAGCCUGGCCAGGACAAGAGAGGAGGUUACAAAGGCGGUUUGGCCUCUUUUUUUUGGUUUGGCCUUUAAAUACAAACAAUAAAGAAACGUUAGGCCUCUGUAUCUCUGUUUUCCUUCUCCUUUGUGCUCCUCUCCUUGGCCUAGUAGUAAACAUGAGUUUUCUUCUCCUCCCUCAUAGAGACUAAAACCUAGAAGAACAAGAGGAUUGAAUUUUUGAUUGGAUGUGAUGGGCCAGCGCAUGUCGAUGGCGAGGAGGAGGAGAGGUCGCAAGGGGUGGAAGAACGGCGCAGCAUCAGAGAAGAUCGGUUGUCUCGCAUUGGCGAAGGAGCAGAGGUCCAGAUUUUAUAUUAUUAGGAGAUGUGUGGUGAUGCUCCUCUGCUGGCACAAGUAUGGAAAGUAUUGAAACUUUGCAAGGUUAUGGUCAGGAGCUCUGUUUGUUAUAUUUCUUUUGAUGCUUUUGUUGUUAUAUCUUUGUGAUUGUGUUGUAACAAAAUUCACAUAGGUAGGGAAAUAAGGGCUUGGUUUAGAUUAUAUGAUGAGACUUGGGUUGAAGAAUUUGGAAUAUAUGAUGGCAUGGGAAUGUCUCUUUCUGUUUUCUAAGCAAGUUUGGUAGGUUUAUGUUUUUGUUUCGGAGAUUGUUUCAGUUUUCUUAUUUCUUUGGCUCAUAUUUCUCCUUAUUCGGCUAUUGUUCCUUUGACUAAUAGUUCUGGUUGUUGCACAACUUAUCUAUAGUUUAUUGUGUUACUUCAAGGUAACUGGGUUUCAUUUGUGUUACACCCU